AGAGAUGUAGCUCAGGGGUAGAGCAUCUGCUUUGCAUGUAGAAGGUCCCAGGUUCAAUUCCCUGCAUCUCUA
This is a non-coding RNA of Podarcis lilfordi (Lilford's wall lizard), 72 nucleotides long. NCBI's taxonomy places the organism in Eukaryota, Metazoa, Chordata, Lepidosauria, Squamata, Lacertidae. The record is from the annotation of a GenBank genome assembly.